Molecule: transfer RNA, 73 nt
Filed under: Paramuricea clavata
Lineage: Eukaryota; Metazoa; Cnidaria; Anthozoa; Malacalcyonacea; Plexauridae
Rfam family: tRNA
About the family: Transfer RNA (tRNA) molecules are approximately 80 nucleotides in length. Their secondary structure includes four short double-helical elements and three loops (D, anti-codon, and T loops).
Source: Rfam by way of RNAcentral
GACCGCGUAGCUCAGUUGGCAGAGCAUUGGGCUAGUAUUCCAAAGAUCGUAGGUUCGAUUCCCACCGUGGACA